GGCGGUGGUUUGUGCACUGGCACCGGCGGUGGAUCAACUUUCUUCGGCGGCUUAGGUGGGCAUGGCUUCUUGGGGAUUGGCGGUGGCUUGUGUACCGGAACCGGGGGUGGGUGCUCUAUCUUUGGUGGCGGCUUGUAAACCGGAACCGGAGGUGGGUGCUCUACCUUUGGCGGCGGCUUGUAAACCGGAACCGGUGGUGGAUGCUCUAUCUUUGGCGGUUUAGGCGGACAAGGCUUCUUAGGAAUCGGCGGUGGGAGCUCCACCUUUGGAGGUGGUUUGUGAACCGGGACAGGAGGGGGAAGCUCUACCUUUGGAGGUGGCUCGUGAACCGGGACAGGUGGGGGAAGCUCUACCUUAGGCGGUGGCUCGUGAACCGGGACAGGUGGCGGAAGAUCAACCUUUGGGGGUGGGUCGUAAACCGGGACCGGAGGUGGGCAAGGUUUCUUGAAUUUGGGGAACGGUGGAAGCACCAAAGGUGGAGGUAAAGGGAAAG
This 493-nucleotide long non-coding RNA is filed under the name Eutrema salsugineum. RNAcentral's name for it is "long non-coding RNA (ESAL_LNC002002)". The record is from RNAcentral. Lineage: Eukaryota; Viridiplantae; Streptophyta; Magnoliopsida; Brassicales; Brassicaceae.